AAAAAAAGAAAAGAUUAUCACAUCUUCUAAAAACAUACAUACUAGCCGGGUACGGUGGCUCAUGCCUGUAAUCCCAACACAUUGGGAGUCUGAGGCGGGUGGAUCACUUGAGGUCCGGAGUUCAAGACCAGCCUGGCCAACAUGGCGAAACCCCAUCUCUACUAAACUGCUGGGGAGGCUGAGGCGGGAGGAUCACUUGAACCUAGAAGCCGGAGGUUGCGGUGAUCUGAGAUUGCGCCACUGCACUCCAGCCUGCGGCAGUGAGACUGUCUCAAAAAAAAAAAAAAGAAACAUACAUAAUAGAGCAGAAUAAAAACAAACCUGUCCUUUACCUGUCAUCUCAUAUUUUGCAAGGGCUGAGGUCCUCACAGAGAAGAGAAAUAGGCUGGGCGCUGUGGCUCAUGCUUGUAAUCCCAGCACUUUGGGAGGCUGGAUCACCUGAGGUCAGGAGUUUGAGACCAGCCUGGUCAACAUGGUGAAACCCCAUCUCUACUAAAAAUAGAAAAAAAUAACCAGGUGUGGUGGUGUGCACUCUGUAACCCCAGCUACUCAGGAGGCUGAGACAGGAGAAUCGCUUGAAACGCAGGAGGCGGAGGUUGCAGUAAGCAGAGAUUGCAUGCCACUGCACUCCAGCCUGGGCAACAAGAGUGAAACUCCAUCUCAAAAAACAAAACAAAAAAAAAAUGAGGAAGGGCAUUUCUUGCUUAGUGCCUUUUAAACACCUGAUAGAACUCUCUGGAAGCUGUGUUGGACAUGGGUGCAAGUUGCAGUAUGGUGCAGUCCUGGCUCAGUAGGAGGUUCCAUCAACCAGGAGCCCCUUUGUUAUUCUGUUUCUGUUUUUUCAUGGUGGAUAAUGUCUAUGAUGUUGUGGGUACUACAUAGGUGAGACUAUAUAGCACAGCCUCUACCUUUAUAAGUGGUGGCAAUAAGCAUGUGAUUAACUGUCAUACAACCACAGAGCAAACAGAUUUCAGGGAAAAAAAAACACACUUUAGUCCUUUAUCAAUAACGCCCCCUUUCUCAAUGGGCUAGACUCCUCUUUGUUCUUCCCUAUACCUUUAAAGAAUACAACUAUCAGCUUACAAGAAAAACUUUUCCUAAGUCCAAGGACAGGAGAGGUGCCAUUCCCGGCCUCAAGUGGAGGUUUGAUAACAACUGGCAAAAGGAGGAUUCAGUGUUAGACUAGAAAUUAGAUGAGCUGAUCCCCAGGAGCCUAUGGUUCCUUGAAUCCCUGAAUGGGAGCAUUAAGACCAGUGGAAAUGAGAAAGAAUUAUUGAUCACAUCUCUACAAAUGGGCAUAAACUGUUC
RNAcentral lists this long non-coding RNA (1308 nucleotides) under Homo sapiens (human). RNAcentral's name for it is "HSALNT0176274". Lineage: Eukaryota; Metazoa; Chordata; Mammalia; Primates; Hominidae. The record is from RNAcentral.